This 635-nucleotide ribosomal RNA is filed under the name uncultured bacterium. RNAcentral describes it as "bacterial SSU rRNA". It matches the Rfam family "Bacterial small subunit ribosomal RNA", at positions 232 to 885 of the family's 1533-position model. The record is from RNAcentral.
CGCGGCCUAUCAGCUUGUUGGUGAGGUAACGGCUCACCAAGCCUGCGACGGGUAGCCGGUCUGAGAGGAUGAUCGGCCCGAGGGGCACUGAGACACGGGCCCCACUCCUACGGGAGGCAGCAGUCGGGAAUUUUGGGCAAUGGGCGCAAGCCUGACCCAGCGACGCCGCGUGGAGGACGAAGCCCUUCGGGGUGUAAACUCCUUUUAGUGGGGACGAACGCAGACGGUACCCACAGAAAAAGCCCCGGCUAACUACGUGCCAGCAGCCGCGGUAAUACGUAGGGGGCGAGCGUUGCCCGAAUUUACUGGGCGUAAAGCGCACGUAGGCGGCUCCGUAAGUCUGGUGUGAAAUCUCACGGCUCAACCGGGAGGCUGCACCAGAUACUGCGGAGCUCGAGGACGGGAGAGGAGAUUGGAAUUCCCGGUGUAGCGGUGAAAUGCAUUGAUAUCGGGAGGAACACCAGUGGCGAAGGCGGAUCUCUGGCCCGUUACUGACGCUGAGGUGCGAAAGCUGGGGGAGCGAAAGGGAUUAGAUACCCCUGUAGUCCCAGCCCUAAACGAUGGGCGCUAGGUGUUGGGGGAUUUCCCCUCAGCGCCGUAGCUAACGCAUUAAGCGCCCCGCCUGGGGAGUACGG